Symphalangus syndactylus (siamang) is the source of this 184-nucleotide small nuclear RNA. RefSeq annotates it as U2 spliceosomal RNA. Lineage: Eukaryota; Metazoa; Chordata; Mammalia; Primates; Hylobatidae. The record is from RefSeq and is a predicted model, not a curated record.
AUCGCUUCUCGGCCUUUUGGCUAAGAUCAAGUGUAGAAAAAAGGAUAUCAGCACCGCAGUCUGUAUUUCAGUUUAUUUAUUUAUUUAUUUUAAGGUGGAGUUUUGCUCUGUCUCCCAGGCUGGAGUGCAGUGGCGUGAUCUCGGCUCACCGCCACCUCUGCCUCGCAGGUUCAAGCGAUUCUCC